RNAcentral lists this transfer RNA (73 nucleotides) under Exaiptasia diaphana. Its description in RNAcentral is "tRNA-His". It matches the Rfam family "tRNA". From Rfam's summary of the family: Transfer RNA (tRNA) molecules are approximately 80 nucleotides in length. Their secondary structure includes four short double-helical elements and three loops (D, anti-codon, and T loops). Further hydrogen bonds mediate the characteristic L-shaped molecular structure. tRNAs have two regions of fundamental functional importance: the anti-codon, which is responsible for specific mRNA codon recognition, and the 3' end, to which the tRNAs corresponding amino acid is attached (by aminoacyl-tRNA synthetases). tRNAs cope with the degeneracy of the genetic code in two manners: having more than one tRNA (with a specific anti-codon) for a particular amino acid; and 'wobble' base-pairing, i.e. permitting non-standard base-pairing at the 3rd anti-codon position. The record is from Rfam by way of RNAcentral. Lineage: Eukaryota; Metazoa; Cnidaria; Anthozoa; Actiniaria; Aiptasiidae.
GGCCUUGUAGCUCAGCUAGUAAAGCAUCGGUGUAUGAAUCCGAAGGUCGUGGGUUCGAAUCCCAGCGAGGUCG